AUGAACGCUGGCGGCGUGGAUAAGGCAUGCGAAGUCGGACGAUUUCCUUUUUUGAAGAAGAUGCGAUUACAUCAAGUCAACUGAUAUUUUGGAGAUAGUGGCGAACGAGCUAGUAACACCUUGGUACGUACCCAAAAGUUUGGUAUAGCUCGCCGAAAGGCGGGGUAAUCCCAAAUAAUCCCUCUAUCUAUCGGAUAGAAGGGUAAAGUCGCAAGACGCUUUUGGAGCGGCCUAGGACCGAUCAGUUAGUUGGUGAGGUAAUGGCUCACCAAGACGAUGACCGGUAGGGG
This 290-nucleotide ribosomal RNA is filed under the name uncultured bacterium. RNAcentral describes it as "partial 16S ribosomal RNA". It matches the Rfam family "Bacterial small subunit ribosomal RNA", at positions 29 to 289 of the family's 1533-position model. The record is from RNAcentral.